This is a long non-coding RNA of Hirundo rustica (Barn swallow), 2288 nucleotides long. RefSeq lists it as uncharacterized. The transcript is spliced from 3 exons. NCBI's taxonomy places the organism in Eukaryota, Metazoa, Chordata, Aves, Passeriformes, Hirundinidae. The record is from RefSeq and is a predicted model, not a curated record.
GGAACACGGCAAGACGAAAGAAGCUCUGUUGUUUUUUUUUCCCCGGCAGUUAGUUAGUUUAGUGCUAGCGUAGUUAAGACACUGUAGAAUACUGAAGCUUUUUGCCUUUUUUUUUUCUUUUUUCCUCUUUUUUUUCCCUUUUUUUUCCUUCCUUUUUUUUUUUUUUUCCCUCUCCUCAGAACUGUUCCAACCUCUCCGGACUAAGGACCUGGGGAAGCACCGGGGGGCCUCCACAGGGGACCCACCCCACCAAGACCAGCCCUGCACAUCUCCUUUUCUCCCAGCACCAGCGGAGAUGGAGCGGUGGAGCACAGUGACGACCCUCAAGAGGAGACUUUCUUUAAGUUUGUUAUCCCUCCGGCUCUCAUCUUCCUCUGGGUUCUCUUUCUUCUGGGCUCAGGUUUCCUCCCAGCUGGGCCAUGCUCAGGAUGCUGUUGGUGCCCCAGAACCAAUGGAACUGAAGUUAAUUCGCCUAUCUUGAUAAUUCUGAGCAGUGAGAGUUUGGAAGGAAGAAAUGUGACAGAAACUCUUAUGAAGAAUCCAAGAGGAGCAAAAAAUGAGCAACAACAGAGAUUGUGAGAAAACAAUAGACAGACAACUCUUAAAGGUCAGGGCUGGGUUUCUUGGUUCCUUUGGGUUUUCGGGACAGGCUGGGCUCUCCCUGGGCUCUCUGCCCUGUGAGGAGGUUCUCAACCCUGUGGCAAAUCUAUCAGAAGGGCAGUGGAGUAAAGGCUCAGCUGCCACAGAGGAAAAAAAAAAAAAAAAAAAAAAAAAGGGAGAAGUAUUGCGGAUGUUAUUCUCAAAGGCCUGAGAAAGCUGAAGGGGACUUCAGUGUGGAUUUAACCCCAAACUAAAAAUCGUCCACUUUUAAGAUUCCCUUGAUAGACUGAGUAAUGCAGCAACUGCAGUGAAAACCCCACCAUUCUUUUGUGAUCUUAAACAGUUGAAAAUAUUACAUAUUUUUCAACACUUCUUUAUAAAUAAAAUGUAAAUCAAGUUUCAAAAUGUGACUUGUUAAUGCGAAAAUGCACCUGCAAUCUAAUUUAUAUAGUCUCUACCUUUGAAAGCUGCUAUUCCACGUAUGAAAAGUGGGGUUGUUGGCAUAUCAAGACAGUCCCAUUGGCUCCUGAUAGCUCUCAUAUUAUUGCAUACUGUAAAGAGAGCUUCUGGGUUUGAUUUUAAUUAUAUGUUCUUCAUUGCAAAUAUUUGCUGCCUUCCUGCUUCCACCACAGUAGACAAAGGAAAACCAGGAUGAUGGGGUUAUACCUGCACGAGGAGGAGAAAAUCAGACCCAGGGCCACAGUAAGAAAAGGAGUUAUUAGUCAUGUAGCAGUGAAUCAGCAUCUCUCUUUUUGAAUCUUUUCUUUUGAAUGAGUUAUAGUUAUGUCCUGCAUUAAUAUUUUUGCUUAGUUUGCUAGGAAAUGCAAAUGGAAAUAAAAAAAAAAUUGAAAUUACUUUGAGGUUUUCUUCGUCCACCAGCCAAAUGUAUAUACCUCAGAAACUAAUAUAGCUCUUUGAUGGGAAUUGCUUAUUUUCUGUUGACAGAUUUUUAGUGAAAAAGAUAGAAAUCAGAUUGAAUUUCGACAGUGAGAAAUUGAGAGCUUAUUCUACCAGCAGGAAUUUCAAGGCCUCUAAUUUUACCUCUGUGAGAAAAGAUGAACCAAGAAUAUCAGCAACCUACUUUCCUUUCCCAGAAAGAAACACAGCACCCUGAAAGUCACAGAGACAAUCUGAAACAGAGGUGAUUUCCCCUCAGCUUAGACGCGGCAGUCUCUAACCACAGCAGAGAUACUGGGGUUUGUUGUUAGGCCCCAGCAGUCCGGCAGUGAAAUAAAGCACAUCUUGUCCUUGCUCACAUGGGUGGGGUCAGGUGUGACCCUUCCUGAUGACCCCGAAUCGCAGGCAGGCACCGAUCCUGCAGCACUCAGCCCUGGGAGCAGGGUUCCAGCACCCACAGGGAAUUUCUACCCCUCAGGAGACCUUUGGGGUUGUUUAUAUUAAAUGAAUAUUUCAAUGAGCAAGUGUCCAUGUGAGCACUGCUGUUGACGUGAGCUCCACAGAAUCAGAAUGAGAUCAUUAAAAUAUAAAUAUCAAAACACUUUGUCUUCUUUGCGGUGUAUGGCAGCAUUUUUCUGCUUUGUCCAUUUUCUGUGUCCUAUUCUGAGUAAUCCAACAUCACUUUUUGUCUCUGCAAUGUAUCUUCAUAACAGCUCUUCCUAUGCAGCCGAGUCAGGAAACAGAUCAGGCUAAUUCUUUUCCAUCACAUUGUAUUUUCUUGUGUCCUAAUG